Ceratina calcarata is the source of this 1199-nucleotide long non-coding RNA. RefSeq lists it as uncharacterized. Lineage: Eukaryota; Metazoa; Arthropoda; Insecta; Hymenoptera; Apidae. The transcript is spliced from 3 exons. The record is from RefSeq and is a predicted model, not a curated record.
UAUGCAGAGGAUCCAGUGCCGGGUUGAAGGAAUCAUGAAUCAACACCUGAGUAUAUGCGGAGGAUCCAGCAUCGGGAAGGGGGAACAAUGAAUCAUCACGCGCGCGAUGCCUGAGUUGGUCUAAGUUAAUGUACUACCGAAGGCGGAGGGGCUGAUUCGCGAUUGAUUAAAUUGUGUUUUGGUGUUUAUAAGAGGACUGAUUAAACUUUUAUAUUUCCACAAAGUACUGUUUUUAUUUUCAUUACCUUUUGUCUAGCCUUCCUUUUUUACCUUUGAUGGAAGAUAAAACGAAUAAGCAUGUUCAAAAUCAAGCGGGACCGCACUGAGGGUAGCACUUGUGGGCUCAAACAGAGCUUUUCCCCUUCCGUUUUUGGGAGCCCUACCCCUCGACUAUGCACCGUCCUUUAGGUCCAUGAUGUAGACGACAUGUAUAGAUAGACAUGUAAUUACAUGUGUAUUUAUUAGACCUGUGGGCUUAGUGGCUGUGAACAUGAACAUGACCUGUGGGCUGUGCACAAUGGCACAAAUAUGCAGGCCUCAUUAUAUAUUACUCAUUAUGCACUACAACUACCCAAAAGGAUUCCCGAGUCGGAAAUCCCGACCCGUUUGGCAUGCACUGACACUGACAUGCACGUAAAAUAUGCAAAAACCUAUUCUAAAUUCUCAAUCUUGAAUUAAACGUCUUGAACUUUGAACGAAGCUUCAGAUUUUAAAUCUUGAUGAACAACAGUAGUAGAAUGGCAGAAUGAUAUAAGAUAGAAUAGAAUUUCCAUGUCAAAUAUUCAUUAUUACAUUUAUACUGCAUAAAUUUAAUAUUUGUUUAACAGAUGUAACCAAUUUUAAACUUUUCUGAUUGAACUUAAUCUUUUUACCGAAAUUAUAGCCGAAAUAUAUGCGUAAUAUUGUUUAACUUUAAGGUAGAGAAAAAAUGAUAAAAAUAGUGGAAACUAGAAAAAUAUAUACUUUGCCACAAAAUGGACCAUUAUUUGUGACCCUGAAAAGAAUUAUUUAUGGAACUGAAAAUAAUUGUUUGUUCCUCAAAAUGCAAUGCAGCAACGCAAAGGAAAAGAUGGACUAUCUGAAUCUGAACCAAAUAAAAGACAAAUAACAAAUCCAUAUAUACAUUUAUUAUACAUAUAUAUAUUACAUGUACUGUGAUUCGUCAAAUAGUAAAUAAAGCAUUUAUUGUUAUUAUGUAA